AGGGGUCAAAAGGUCAUGCGUUUCAUGCUUGCUUGAUAAGGCUUUUGACCUUGUGAUCCGCCAAACAUGAGAACGUAGCGAUCUACGUAGUAACUCAGCGGAUUUCGAAUGUUUGUAAAAUUGUGGAAGCUGCUUCGCAGCGGAGCAAUUCGUAGUCAUC
Molecule: small RNA, 160 nt
Filed under: human gut metagenome
Description: Clostridiales-1 RNA
Rfam family: Clostridiales-1 RNA
Source: RNAcentral